Molecule: small nuclear RNA, 106 nt
Organism: Fukomys damarensis (Damara mole-rat)
Lineage: Eukaryota; Metazoa; Chordata; Mammalia; Rodentia; Bathyergidae
Source: Ensembl
GUAACAAAAAAGGCAUGGUACUUUACUCUGUGUACGAAGGUUACAGAGAUUAGCAUGGCCUCUGCACAAGGAUGUCAUACAAAUUCAUAAAGUGUUCCAUGUUUUU